CGUCAUUUAGAGGAAGUAAAAGUCGUAACAAGGUUUCCGUAGGUGAACCUGCGGAAGGAUCAUUAACACGUGAUACUCACGUAUUAACAAACCCACCGAGAAUAUGUUUUCUAUCCUAUUGUUGAUUGUAAGCAGACAAAAUGAGAAUUUGCUAUGAGGCCGCCCUUGUGAUCGUAAAAAAUUACAUUGUACGCUUCAGACUCAUCCGUCGUUCUAUGGUCCGCCCUGGAGUUUGCACCAACAAAUAGUUGACGAAUUACGACUGCUUAUUAAGCCUGUAGCAAAGCUUGCAGCUCGUAGUGAAAUAUUAACCCCUUUUUCUAUUAUUUACUGAUUUGUAUGUUUAUAUGAAUUCCUGACUUUCGGGUUGGUUGAGUUUAUAUAGAUGUCGUAUAUUACUAAUACGAAACAACUCUUAGCAACGGAUAUCUUGGUUCUC
Molecule: unclassified non-coding RNA, 439 nt
Filed under: fungal sp.
Lineage: Eukaryota; Fungi
Description: partial internal transcribed spacer region
Rfam family: Eukaryotic small subunit ribosomal RNA (bases 1-65)
Source: RNAcentral